This 21-nucleotide non-coding RNA is filed under the name Caenorhabditis elegans. The record is from RNAcentral. Lineage: Eukaryota; Metazoa; Nematoda; Chromadorea; Rhabditida; Rhabditidae.
UAAAAAUGAAGUAUGACACAA